Oncorhynchus nerka (sockeye salmon) is the source of this 2181-nucleotide long non-coding RNA. RefSeq lists it as uncharacterized. The record is from RefSeq and is a predicted model, not a curated record. The transcript is spliced from 4 exons. NCBI's taxonomy places the organism in Eukaryota, Metazoa, Chordata, Actinopteri, Salmoniformes, Salmonidae.
UUUGAAUCUGAGAGUAAAUAGAGCCGACUACACUCUAAAAAUGAAGGGUUCAACUGGAGUUGUUCUCAGAUCCCAUAAGAACCGUAGGGUUCUUGUCAAUGAAAAACAGCCGAAAAGGUUAUUCAAAGAACUUGUUAGAAGGUGGGUUCAUCGAGGAACCUCCGUUGUUGCUGGACUUCUUCCUGGAACUUCGCAAUUACAACUGAAAACGCCGGUGGCAAGUUUGGAUGCGACAACAGUUAAAAAGUCGUAGCAGAGCCCCAAGUCCUCGAGGGCGUGGACAUUCUCCCCAUCAAAGGCCAGCGGGAUUUCACUCACAUGGUGAAAAUGAUUUCCGCCGAUGUGCAGUAAUGGAGUGAAGAGUGGUGAAAUCUGUGUCAACAAAACCUUCCUCUCCCCUGAAGACCCAGUGAGGGUGGAGCUCAGUCAGAGAACUGUUGAGGGACUGGUUAUGAAGAACACUUCUACAGCCAGAGAGGGGCAGUCAAGAAAUGGAACAGCAAAGACACAGAACAUGACAUAAGCAGAGCUGUGGGAGACCAUCUCAUGCCCCUGGUAGAGCCGGGGGUGGUGUUUACCACGCCUUCAGCAGUUUUGAAAAGUGGGAUUGAUACUGGUUUUCAUACUAAGAUGGACCAAGAGUCUGUUGAUUGGUCAGUCACUGGGUUAAUUUGUUUUAUGUUCAAAUCAAGCUUUAUCUAUACAGCACAUUUCAGACAUGGUGCAACACAAUGGCUUCACAGGGGAAAAAAACAAUUAAAAUAAACAGGAAUAUUUAGUACACAAAAAAACAUAAGGAUUUUUUUAAAACUGAAAGACGAAUGAGUACCAAUGCCAUUGAUUUAAAAUAUUAAUUGGAUGCAAUAUCCAACCCAAAAUAUAUGCUUGUUUUUUAGGAGGGGCUCCGAAAGACACUAUGGGGGUGUCCACUAAAAGUUCACUAGUAACAACAACUGGGACCCAAAAGACACCCACCAUGAGACCCACUAAAUCUACCCAAGAAGCGUCAAACAAAAGAAAAAAACACACCAAACUUAAAGACAUGAAGCAAACCAAAAAGGUGGUUAAAAUAAUUUAUUUACAAUCAAUACCAUUCACACUUUACAAAAUCGUAUCUCUCAUUCAUUCUUAAUUACUUAUAUUUACAAAACCAAAUCACCAAACACCAAACAAAAACAAACCUCAGGGGAGCAUCGUCCCUCCCCGUCAUACCUAACCAAUACCUAACCCUUUCCCUAUCUUCCCUUCCCUAAUCUAUCCCCUUACAAAACUCACUCUUAACACGCCCAGCCCUAAACCCCCUUUCCACCUCUCCCGUGCCGCAUGCUUCCCCCACUUCCUCUCCUCCCUCUUCAUCCUCCCCCUCAAAUCACCUUUCACCCUUCUCACUAUCCCUUCCACCCCCCAAUCUCUCCCUGUCUUGACAAAAUUCUGCCUGGCUUCCCACAGUCCCUUUUUAAAGAGACUCAUUUGAAGCCAGAGCAGAAACCUGUCCCUAUCCGUUCCCUUUGCUCUCCCUACGCCUCUCUCUAGCCUAGCCCAUGUCAAAACAAAAUCCCUCCUAACCACACCUAGCAUCACCCGUGCCCUAGCCCAGACUAGUCCGGCAAAGGCACAGUCCCAGAAGGCAUGGCGCACAGUCUCCUCCCUGCCACAAGCAGAUCUUGGACAGGUGGGGGAUCGCACCACACUAUACCGGUAAAAGAUGGAAAGUACCGGCAAGCACUUAUGGAGGCCCAACCAAUUCAGGUCCUUGAGCCUGUUGUCCAGGACUCCCUGCCUGCCUGACCUCUUCGUACAGGUGCCUGUGAUCUAAACCUACUCGGGCAACUUCAACCUCGGGGUGCGCACGCAGCCACUUUGCCGCAUGGCCAAAGUGCCACGGCAGCUGUUCCGCCCGAGGACCCGCGUUAGACCACACCAUUACGCUUCUCGCCUGGUACGAGAAGAACACCCGCAGGAGGUAACCGGACGGGUGUAUCACUGGCUGAGCAAGCUCCGCUAACAAGAAAGAAACAAAAAUUGAGUCCUGCUUGAGGGGGAAAUGUGGUACCCCCCUACCUCCCUCCCCGAUGGGACAGAUCAUGCGUGCCCUGGCGACCCACUCGCACCUGCCACUCCACAUAAACUGAAACACAAGCCUCACUAGAGGCCUCCUCAGACAAGCCGGCAAUGGGUAGA